Molecule: ribosomal RNA, 696 nt
Filed under: Echinophyllia tarae
Lineage: Eukaryota; Metazoa; Cnidaria; Anthozoa; Scleractinia; Lobophylliidae
Description: partial 12S ribosomal RNA
Rfam family: Bacterial small subunit ribosomal RNA
Source: RNAcentral
UGAAACAAGGGAAAACGUUGGCAGCAGUAAAGAAUUUUAUGCAAUAUACGAAAGUAAGACAUAGGCAGAACCUUUUAACCUGUCAAAUUAAGUGCCAGCAGACGCGGUGAAACUUAAGGGUUUGUUUUUUAGAAAAAGCAGAAAGCGUGUAAAGGUAAAACAUUUAAAAUAAAUAGAAUUUUUUUAGUAAUAGUGCAAUAUUAAAAGAAAAAAAAGAAUUUUUUAUGUGAAGACAAUUUAUUUUUUUUCUUUAACACGAAGGUUCUGGGAGCAAACAGGAUUAGAGACCCUGGUAGUCGAUACAGUAAAAGAAAGUCGCUUGAGUAGUACGGUCGCAAGAUUAAAAUUCAAAAAACUUGGCUGUUCAUUGUUAUUUAGAGGAGCGCGUUGCUUAAUUCGAUAGCCCGCGAGUUACCUUACCAAAACUAGCUUUUUCAGGUGUUGCAUGGCCGUCGUCAAUUUAUGUUUGAUACAAUAGAUUAAACCCUAGAAAGGUUGAAGUCAGGUAUUAUUGCCUUUAUGUUUUGGGGUUCGAUGCGCUACAUUUUUUUUUUAAUAAAAAAAAAGAGUUCGGAUUGUCUUUAAAAGAGGAUGAUGAAGGGGGAUUUUAUAGUAAUUGAAAAGUAGAGCGUUUCAAUGAAUUUGCCGCAAUGUUAGUACAAAUUGCCCGUCGCCUCUGCUGAUGGAAACAAAGUA